AGUUUGAUCCUGGCUCAGGAUGAACGCUGGCGGCGUGCCUAAUACAUGCAAGUCGAACGAAUCUCUUUUAGAGAUGAGUGGCGAACGGGUGAGUAAUACAUAGGUAACCUGCCCCUGUGCGGGGGAUAACAGGAGGAAACUCCUGCUAAUACCGCAUAGCCAUGAGCACCGCAUGGAGCUCAUGCCAAAUAUCCUUUAUGGGAUAGCGCAGGGAUGGACCUAUGGCGCAUUAGCUGGUUGGCGGGGCAACGGCCCACCAAGGCAACGAUGCGUAGCCGGCCUGAGAGGGCGGACGGCCACAUUGGGACUGUGACACGGCCCAGACUCCUACGGGAGGCAGCAGUAGGGAAUUUUCGGCAAUGGGGGAAACCCUGACCGAGCAACGCCGCGUGAGCGAAGAAGGCCUUCGGGUCGUAAAGCUCUGUUGUAAAGGAAGAACGGCGCAUACAGGAAAUGGUAUGCGAGUGACGGUACUUUACCAGAAAGCCACGGCUAACUACGUGCCAGCAGCCGCGGUAAUACGUAGGUGGCGAGCGUUAUCCGGAAUCAUUGGGCGUAAAGAGGGAGCAGGCGGCCGCAAGGGUCUGUGGUGAAAGCCCGAAGCUAAACUUCGGUAAGCCAUGGAAACCGGGCGGCUAGAGUGCGGAAGAGGAUCGUGGAAUUCCAUGUGUAGCGGUGAAAUGCGUAGAUAUAUGGAGGAACACCAGUGGCGAAGGCGACGGUCUGGGCCGCAACUGACGCUCAUUCCCGAAAGCGUGGGGAGCAAAUAGGAUUAGAUACCCUAGUAGUCCACGCCGUAAACGAUGGUCACUAAGUGUCGGGGGUCAAACCCCGGUGCUGCAGUCAACGCAAUAAGUGACCCGCCUGAGUAGUACGUUCGCAAGAAUGAAACUCAAAGGAAUUGACGGAAGG
RNAcentral lists this ribosomal RNA (912 nucleotides) under uncultured bacterium. RNAcentral describes it as "bacterial SSU rRNA". It matches the Rfam family "Bacterial small subunit ribosomal RNA", at positions 10 to 920 of the family's 1533-position model. The record is from RNAcentral.